UUCCAUCAACUCCCCCCGUUCCCCUCCUCCCCUUUCCAUUUUACCUUCUCGCCCGUCCCCGAAUUCUUCCACCUCCCAUCCCGUGCAGCCGGCCUCACCGCCGGCGACGGGACGCGGAGACCCGGGCUGCCGGUACCGUCAGCCGUGCUCCUUCCUCUCUUCGUCGCCCCCGCCAAAACCUUCAUCUGCCGGGGCUGCACCGGCGGCGCGGGGACAACAAAAGCUCGAGAUCCGGUGACUGAUCUCUUCGUUCCUCGGUUCACUUUGAUAUUCCAACAAAGGUCACAUUGCUAGACUCCCAGAUUGGUUCCUAACAAUGAGGGCACAUGAACGAGCUGCCAGUUUGGCUCUUGCCUGUCUGAGCUUGGCUCCACUUCUGGUUA
This is a long non-coding RNA of Zea mays, 383 nucleotides long. RefSeq lists it as uncharacterized. Lineage: Eukaryota; Viridiplantae; Streptophyta; Magnoliopsida; Poales; Poaceae. The record is from RefSeq and is marked validated.